This 268-nucleotide non-coding RNA is filed under the name Canis lupus familiaris (dog). RNAcentral's name for it is "bip internal ribosome entry site (IRES)". It matches the Rfam family "bip internal ribosome entry site (IRES)". From Rfam's summary of the family: This family represents the bip internal ribosome entry site (IRES). BiP protein expression has been found to be significantly enhanced by the heat shock response due to IRES-dependent translation. The record is from Rfam by way of RNAcentral. Lineage: Eukaryota; Metazoa; Chordata; Mammalia; Carnivora; Canidae. RNAcentral also lists the same sequence under 1 other name.
CGCUGGCUGAGACAUCACAGACUCAUCGACUUGGGGGAUUUUUGUGAGUCUGAGAGGUAAGCGCCGCGGCCUGUCCUUCCGGACCUGCCCUUCGCCUUGUCUGCUGCUCCUGCUGACCCCGGGCCUUGUACCCUCAGAUCAGUCUCCUCGGUGCGCUCCGGUGCUGCGGCCUGUGGUUGGAUUGUCCGUGACGUCCCGACUCACUGCUGACCCACUGGCCUACGGCGCCGGCAGGAUGAAGCUGUCCCUGGUGGCUGCGGUGCUGCUG